AUGGUGUGCAUCUAGUGGGGGUCUGGAGGGUCUGGGGGUGCAAGCAGCCCAGUAGGGAGCUAGAUGGUGUGCAUCUGGUGGGUGCCUGUUCCUCAGUGUACCCCCAGCACUGGCACUUACCCUUUUGUCCACCCAAUUUGUAGUAAGUGUUUCUUCAGUCCUCCCACCACUCGGAGAUAUCUGUGAGCCAGCCCCACAACAUUCUGCUAGACUGAACUUAGAGACCCAAAGCCCCCUCUGAGCUUUGGGUGUCCCUAGACCCCACUUCUUACUGCCUAGCCUUCAUUUUCACUUGUUGCUAAAAAAGAAAGCCAGCAUUUAUUAUGGAGAUUUUUCAGACAACGCAAGCAGAGAAAGCAAUGUGCUCUUAAACACCGCAGUUUUAGCUUUUUUUUUUUUUUUUUUUAAAUUUCAUCAUCUAGAUGCAGUGCCCACCAAAUCCAUCUAUCCCUCUGCUGCUUCUGAGCUCUGGACCCUCCCUUGCUCCCCACCGCCCCAGUCCCCAGCCUCGGACUGUUUUGAGGCUAAUUCUAGAGAUCACAUUGUCUCUUCUGUGCAUCUUUGAAUAUUUAUCUCUGAAAAGCGGCUGCCCCGUCAUAAAAACAUAAAGAUGCUAUCCAUUACCCCGAUUUUUAUAAAAAUACGUGUAAUACUAUUAUCACAAUUAACCACUUAAUGACUUUUCUUUCCUGCCAUCUAACCUCUAUGCAGUGUCCAAAUCUUCCUGACGGACUCAUAAAUUUCUUUUAUGAUUGGCUUAUUCAGAUCUCUGUCCAAAGUACUUGCUGCACUUUCAAGGGGCCUGUGGGGUUCUCAAAGGUAAGUACAGCUUGAAAUUCAGUGCUUUAACCAAGUACAAAUUUAGUGAGCCUCAGUUUUCUCCCUGAAAAUGGGCCCAAUUCUGGGUACCUCCAAGGGCUGUCAGGCAAAUUGGAGACAGGUACACACAUAUCCCCCAGCCCCAUAUCAAACAAAAAUUAGACACGGCAGCCAGCAGCUGUUAUUUGAAUUAUCGGUUUUUCACGGAAACCUCUGAAAGAGUUGGACUGGAUAGACAAGACAGAGCUGGCCAUCAUCCACAAAACAAAAGGCGCCUGGCAGGCCAGGGCCCCUGAGUGAUUUAGACAGAGCGUGUAUUACAUCUCAACAAGGGCAGCCUGUAGCCCAGGGGGCUAGGGUCCCGGGACCCCCCACCGGGUGCUGGUCCACUAGGUGGCACUCUCUGCUGUGUGUCCAGGACAGACCACUCCCCAAGGUACCCAGGCCACAGCCAAAACAUCCCAGGUAAUUCUCAAACAUCAGCUCCACAUGCCAUGCAAAACGCAGUGUUUUUUCCUCUCUGCAUCCCUCCCAGCCCAGUAGCAGAAACAAGAAAAUGCAAACAUUUCAUAACAAAUUGCUGAGACCAAACACUAGACAGCCCACCUCCCUUUUACUUCUCCGUCCUAGCUAUAUCUGAUUGCUCAUUAUUUUACAGAUAAGAGGAUGAUGAGAGGGUCGAGGAUUUGCCCAAGAUCGGCUAGUAAGCAGGACCCGGGGCUCCGACCCAGGGCUGACCAUUCUCAGAAGAUUUUGCCCUAUUCUCAGCAUCUAGACCUGGAACAGAACGGGAGCGAGGAUGUCUGGUGCCUAGUCAUAUCCACACCCGGGGAGUGUCCGCGUGUGCACAGCUGGCUGCUCGGGGCUCGAGUGGAGGCCGUAAUAUGAAUGGAGACCUAGUCUGCUGGUUGAGACCUUGGCAGUGACCACUGUGGGCAAUGAGCCAUUGACCAACAAUUCCAUGUGAGCCUGUCUCUAAUAUUGAAGAUUUAUAUAUCUUAAUGGACAAGAACCACAAAGGCUCAAUGAUGCUCUCCUCGUGGUACCUGGAAGAUCCUGAGCCUCUGUGGGGCAGGAAGAAAGGGACUCAGUUCAUGCUUGACUUCAGCAAGUGGAUGCGCCCCCUCCAACUGAAUCAUCCUGGAACAUCAAAGGUCUCAGUUUUUACCUCUGUGGGUAAGGAAAGAAGAGAUUAAUGACCCCUGAUUUAAUUAUUUAAUAUGGAAUCGUUGUCCUGAGUAAGGAGCAUAGAUGAGAAUAAAGAAUGAGCACAGCUGGUAUGGCUUCAUGGCUACCUUCUGGGGAAGAUCUUGCCUGUUUACCUCUGGAAAAGAUUGCUCAUCCCUCAGAAGCAAUGGCUUUGAUCUGCUUUAAGCACUGGACCCCGCUCACAAACCCCACACUUUUUCUCAGUAUUUACAUGAAGACCCCAACACCUGUGUGAGUAAUAUUUAAAUGUAUUGUUUUUCUCAAUGGGAUGCUCUGUGUUAUUAUAGAGUAUCAGUGAUAUCUGAGCAAAGGAUCUGGUUGUUCUGAAGAAGAAAACACGGCCAUAGGCACACAUUACUAGAGAAGAAGAAGGCUAACACGGACCGAUGAUGACAAGGGUCAGCACUAUAAGUCACUGACGAUGACUACAUUUUUUUCUGUCUGAGGUUCACAUCACAGUAUAUCUCAGGUGCUCCCUCCGUUAGCCAGGGGAUGGAAGUUAGGCCUGUGGAGCAUGCACUGUGCAUUAGAAUCAGGCACCUUCAUGCAAUGUUCUUUUCUCAGUGGAUCAAUGAAACACGAUACAAAUAAACACACAAAUGUAAAUGUAAAGGAAUAUUUUGAGACAUUGAUCAAUUCGAAAAUAAAUAUUUGACCACAAAUUCUGCUACGACAUGUAGAAAAUACAGAAGUCUGUUAAGAUUAAUUGGCAUAAAAAUUAUAUAAAAUUUAGCCAAGUUCACAUAUGAAAUGUAAUUAAUGGAUUAAGCCCUAGUAUGGGUUAACACCUUCAUUUUAAUUUUGAGUCUUACUUGAUUUCUCAAGACACCUUCCUAACAACCUGAAUCCUAAAUAACAAAUAGUGAAAGGGGAAAUGCAGAGAUAAUUUGAAAAAUAUCAAAUCAUUUUAUUUUGUUUUUCCUGCUUUGUACUCCCUGGAUGGAUGAUGACUGACCCAUUGUUUCCUGGCUGGGAGGUCCAUGGUUUUCCUAGCCUCAAGUUUAAAGAUCAAGGGAACUGAUAAUGGAUUCCGCCCCCAAGCGGAUUUUCACUCUCCUUCGCUCAUGAGCUUCAUAAUGAGCUGUUUUAGACUGUAAUGCAGACAGUAAUGGAUACCCUGCAAGCUGAUUUUAUACAGUCUAAAUUGAAACUGAACCUCGUGAUCCAGCCUCUGUGUUCGCAGGAAAGACACCGUAAUGGCUGCCCUAAGCUGAUGUAUAAAUUCUUCCUUGCUUGUGAGAUUCCUGCUCUAAUCCUUGUAGCCCUAAGAUAGACACAGUUGCAUAUAGUCAGUGUUCAUGCCUCCACUUGGUACUUUUAAAGACUACGCACACUAUUGUUGAAAUACUACUCGUUCUCUGGAAGACCGACUAUGUCCAAACGAAUGAAGCCACCAGGCUGAUCUUUGGUCAUGAGCAAUAUAGACACAGUGAUGGAUUUCUCCCCAAAGAUGAUUUACACCUUCUCCUUUGGUGGUGAUCUUCAUGGUCAGCUCUUUGGGUUCAUAAUAUAGACACAGUAACAGAUACCCCAAAGCUGAUUUUAGACAUUCGUCCUUGGUCACCAGCUUCUUGAUCCGCUGUUUGCGUUCAUAGCAUAGAUACAGUGAUGGAUUUCCACCCAAAGAUGAUUUACACCUUCUCCUUUCAUUAUGAUCUUCAUGGUCAGCUCUUUGGGUUCGUAAUAUAGACACAGUAAUGGAUGUCAUUAAGCUGAUUUUACAUUCUCCCUCGGUCAUGAGUUUUGUGAUCAACUCUUUUGAUUCAUAAUAUUGUCACAGUAGAUGAAUACCCUCAAGCUGACGUCCACAUUCUUCCCUGGUUAUGAGGCCCAUGAUCUGCUCUCUGUUCAUAUGAUAGGCGCUGUAAUAGAUGCCUUCAUCACUGGUCACCGGGUUCAUGCAUCAUAGGGACCCACCAUAGAUGCUUUCUGACUGAUGUUCACAUUCUGGUCACCGAGUCAACAGUUACCCUACAUGUCAGGAAGACAGAGACCAAUGUGAGUACGAAAGGCCAACUCCAGAACAGUGGGUGGAUCCUGCCUGGUCCUCACCUCCAAGGUUGCUUGCGUUGUUAGGGUCACGGCUACAAUCGGAUCAGGGAACCCUAUGGAAGAGGAGGUGUGAAGAUUGUAAGGACCAAUGAGAACGGAGGACAGCAAGGAAACGAGGCCUUCUAGAUACAGCAGGACCGAUGCAGAUCUGAACUCAUAGAAACGGUGACAGUGUGCAUGGGGCCUGCACAGGUCUAAGCCAGAUGGGGUUCCAGCGCUGAGAGGGGAAGUGGACACAAGCCCCCAUCCCUGACUCAAGCUAUCUCCAAUCGAUAGACUCUCUCAGAGGAAAAACUCUUUUUCUCCAAUGGAAUCUCACUGGAUACAUAGACUACCCCGAAGAGCAGAGAGCAGGCUCCGUGCUCAGAUGGCCAACACAAAAUGAACUCAGUGGCAUUUUCGGAAGAGCUUGUGACACAUAAUGCUUUGUCUGGGUAUUGUUUUUCUUACCCUACAGACAUUUUGCUUAUAUAUUGUGGUUUCUGAUAUUAGUUUUUAUGAGUUUUCUAUGUCUGUGAUUGUAUGUGUCUCAGAGCCUGUAUUUGUUUCUGGUGAUUUUACAUAGGCUCUUUUUUUUUUUUUGCUUAUUCUGUUUUGUUUGCCUUUAUAUUUCCUCCUCCUUAGUUUAGAUACCUAUUUUCAUUGUAAUGAGAAAUGAGAGUGGGAUAAUUAGUGUGAAUUUGGGUGGGUGUGUAAAUAGGGAGGAUAUGGGAGGUGUUGGGGGGCGG
Molecule: long non-coding RNA, 4808 nt
Organism: Chionomys nivalis (European snow vole)
Lineage: Eukaryota; Metazoa; Chordata; Mammalia; Rodentia; Cricetidae
Exons: 22
Source: RefSeq, a predicted model, not a curated record